RNAcentral lists this ribosomal RNA (484 nucleotides) under uncultured Glomus. RNAcentral describes it as "SSU rRNA". It matches the Rfam family "Eukaryotic small subunit ribosomal RNA", at positions 569 to 1056 of the family's 1831-position model. Lineage: Eukaryota; Fungi; Glomeromycota; Glomeromycetes; Glomerales; Glomeraceae. The record is from RNAcentral.
AGCAGCCGCGGUAAUUCCAGCUCCAAUAGCGUAUAUUAAAGUUGUUGCAGUUAAAAAGCUCGUAGUUGAAUUUCGGGGUUAGUAGGUUGGUCAUGCCUCUGGUAUGUACUGGUCUCACUGAUUCCUCCUUCCUGAUGAGCCGUAAUGCCAUUAAUUUGGUGUUGCGGGGAAUUUGGACUGUUACUUUGAAAAAAUUAGAGUGUUUAAAGCAAGCUAACGCUUGAAUACAUUAGCAUGGAAUAAUGAAAUAGGACGUUCGAUCCUAUUUUGUUGGUUUCUAGGAUUGACGUAAUGAUUAAUAGGGAUAGUUGGGGGCAUUAGUAUUCAAUUGUCAGAGGUGAAAUUCUUGGAUUUAUUGAAGACUAACUACCGCGAAAGCAUUUGCCAAGGAUGUUUUCAUUAAUCAAGAACGAAAGUUAGGGGAUCGAAGACGAUCAGAUACCGUCGUAGUCUUAACCAUAAACUAUGCCGGACUAGGGAUCGG